UGGGGAAUCUUGGACAAUGGGGGCAACCCUGAUCCAGCCAUGCCGCGUGAGUGAUGAAGGCCUUAGGGUCGUAAAGCUCUUUCGCCUGUGAAGAUAAUGACGGUAGCCGGAGAAGAAGCCCCGGCUAACUCCGUGCCAGCAGCCGCGGUAAUACGGAGGGGGCUAGCGUUGUUCGGAAUUACUGGGCGUAAAGCGCGCGUAGGCGGACUGAUCAGUCAGGGGUGAAAUCCCGGGGCUCAACCCCGGAACUGCCUUUGAUACUGUCAGUCUUGAGUCCGGAAGAGGCGAGUGGAAUACCGAGUGUAGAGGUGAAAUUCGUAGAUAUUUUGGAGGAACACCAGUGGCGAAGGCGGCUCACUGGCUCGAUACUGACGCUGAGGUGCGAAAGUGUGGGGAGCAAACAGGAUUAGAUACCCUGGUAGUCCACACCGUAAACGAUGAAUGCCAGUCGUCGGGUAGCAUGCUAUUCGGUGACACACCUAACGGAUUAAGCAUUCCGCCUGGGAGUACGGUCGCAAGAUUAAAAGCUCAAAUGAAUUGACGG
This 544-nucleotide ribosomal RNA is filed under the name uncultured bacterium. Its description in RNAcentral is "bacterial SSU rRNA". It matches the Rfam family "Bacterial small subunit ribosomal RNA", at positions 355 to 916 of the family's 1533-position model. The record is from RNAcentral.